UUAUGAGUGUUGUUGUUUUUGUCCACAGGCCUGAAGUCAGUUCCACACAGGAAAUGGAUCUUGUCUCUGACAUGAUUAUUUUACCUCCUCCGGACCUUUAUGCCGACUUGAGCGUGGAGUGAAUAUUAAAGGACAGAGAGGCAGGGAAAGGAUUGUUUGUUGUUGUUGUUGUGGACACGGUGGACCUCGUCCGUCCCCUCAGGCUGUGACUCCAUCGUCUGGACCAAGACCUUAUUCACCUGGUGACUGCACUUCAACGUGAAACCAAAGAGGGCAGCUUCUAUUGGGUGAGACUUGAACCUUGGGGACAAGCUGGACCAAGGAAAGGACUCACUCAAGACAAUUACACACUUCCUGUGAAAAUACACACAAUUAAUAUGGUGUAAAUUGCAAAUGUGGACAUGUGCCAUUUUCCUGAGAAAAUACAAAAGACAGAAACCUCUUUUUUUCCUCAGUGUUUAUUUCUUCUGGAUCCCCGUUUGUGUCCUAAACACUUGUUACCAGUUUACAGUGUUAGUGGCAAAAGAGUAAAUAAAUUAUAGGUGAUAAACACACAACUGAAUGAAGUUAAAGGGGCCGUGUGUAGGAUGCAGUGGCACCUGGUGGUGAGGUUGUAGAUUGCAGCCGACUUGCCCUCCACCUUCAGACCCCCAUGUGAUGGAGAACUAGUGUGACCUGCAGGGAAUUCAAAAGCUUAAAGCUGCAUUCUGUCUCCUGACCAGCAGGGGGCGACUCCUCUGCUCCCAUAGACGUCUAUGAGGAAAUGACUCUAAUCCUUUAAUAACCUGAUAUGUGUGAGUGUAUAUAUAUAUACACACACUCAUUAACAUUGUAAGACAACCUUAAGCAUUUAGUUUUUGUAUUAGUUUUUUAUUUUAUUUUAUUUUUUUCUACUUUUAUUUACUCUUGUUAUUUUGUUAGAUACUUAAAAAUGGAAAUGCCCGUGUCAUAUUAUGUACAGUAUAAACUACAGUAUAUACUGAGCCUCUAAUGUGUUUUUACUGUAAUAAUGAUUAGAAUCGUUAAUACUGAACCUUUAAGAAUUCUGUCACGUCUUCGUAUCUUAAACUCCAUAAACUUCUUUCUUUGAUUUUUAUGCAGCGUUUUAACAACUUUGUUUCUACAACUGAUGAAUAAAAAGUGUUAAAGAGAAA
Molecule: non-coding RNA, 1154 nt
Organism: Gasterosteus aculeatus aculeatus (three-spined stickleback)
Lineage: Eukaryota; Metazoa; Chordata; Actinopteri; Perciformes; Gasterosteidae
Source: RefSeq, a predicted model, not a curated record